This 405-nucleotide ribosomal RNA is filed under the name uncultured rape rhizosphere bacterium wr0117. RNAcentral describes it as "bacterial SSU rRNA". It matches the Rfam family "Bacterial small subunit ribosomal RNA", at positions 27 to 474 of the family's 1533-position model. The record is from RNAcentral.
GGACGAACGCUGGCGGUGUGCUUCACACAUGCAAGUCGAACGAGGUAGCAAUACCUAGUGGCGGACGGGUGAGUAACGCGUGGGAAUCUGCCUUUAGAUGGGGGAUAACGGGCCGAAAGGUCCGCUAAUACCGCAUAUGCCGCAAGGUGAAAGGAGUAAUCCGUCUAAAGAUGAGCCCGCGUCCGAUUAGCUAGUUGGUAGAGUAAGAGCCUACCAAGGCGACGAUCGGUAGCUGGUCUGAGAGGAUGAUCAGCCACAAUGGGACUGAGACACGGCCCAUACUCCUACGGGAGGCAGCAGUGGGGAAUUUUACGCAAUGGGGGAAACCCUGACGUAGCGACACCGCGUGAGCGAAGAAGCCCUUUGGGGUGUAAAGCUCUGUCAGCUGGAACGAAAACAAUGACG